This 72-nucleotide unclassified non-coding RNA is filed under the name Flavobacterium fluvii. RNAcentral describes it as "Flavo-1 RNA". The record is from RNAcentral. Lineage: Bacteria; Pseudomonadati; Bacteroidota; Flavobacteriia; Flavobacteriales; Flavobacteriaceae.
AUAGGACCGAAUGGAAUUAAAAAGAUUCCACUUCUUUUUUUGUGGAACUUGAAAUGUACAGCUCGAUUAAGG